RNAcentral lists this long non-coding RNA (1536 nucleotides) under Fragaria vesca (wild strawberry). RNAcentral's name for it is "long non-coding RNA (FVES_LNC004658)". The record is from RNAcentral. Lineage: Eukaryota; Viridiplantae; Streptophyta; Magnoliopsida; Rosales; Rosaceae.
AGCGAUGAUAACCAAAAAUUUCUAGCAAAAAUUAGACGAAAUAAUAUGUAAAAAGAGGUACCAAAUAGUAAAUAUAUAUUAAUUAUAUUAAAUAACAAAAUAUUUCAUAAAUUAAGGACAUUUUAGGCAGUUUGGGAUGUGUAUUAAGUAUAAUACUGAAAUGAAAAACUCGAUAGGUUGUGUAUUAAGUAAGGGGUGUGUAUUAAGAUAUUAGGGGUGUGUAUUUAAAAUUUCUCAAAAUUAUAUUCAAAGAAAAGAAAGAAAAAUCAAAUUAAAAUGUAGAAACCAAUAUCUUGUUUAUACAAUUAAAAGGAAAAAAAAACAAGAAAAAGAAGAAGAAAAGAGGAGCAAAGAUUUGAAACCAACUCCAGGUUCGCAUAUGAUAUAUGAUAGUUUAUACUCUCAACAAAAUUAGAGGUACUAGCUUAUCUUGUUUUCCUUUUCAACACAAUGUUACCGAUAUAUGAUAUCUAUACUUAGGGUUUACUAGCUAAUGAAUUGGUUUUGAAGUUUAGGGAAACUUGCAGCUAAUGAUCGAGAAAUUUUUCAGUGCUACAGGAGGACCACGUGGUAGUCUGACGUGGUCCUACAUUCCAAUUAAAUUUAGACAUGUAGAUUUUUUUCAUGAAAAAUUAUUUCAACUAUUUUGUUAAAGACUAUUUUAGGUUUUAUGUUAUUUUUUAAAUACUAAACCCUAAUCCCUAAUCCCUAAACCCUAAACCCUAUACCCUAUACCCUAACCCUAAACUCUAAACCCUAAACCCUAAACCCUAGGUUGAACUUGCUAAAUAUCCAUGAAUGUCAUUUCACAAAAAAUAAAAAUAUUAGUUAAUAUUUUAGUUGUAAAAAAUCCACAUGUCUAAAUUUGAUUGGAAUGUAGGACCACGUCAAACUGCCACGUGGUCCUCCCGUAGCACUUAAAAAUUUCUCGCUAAUGAUCCAUGCCAAAAUUGAUUAUAUAAUUUAUUACAUAUUAGCCACAGAGGCAUGGUACUCUUUUCUUCUUUCCUUCGUCUGUGUACUUCUACUUUGGUCUUGUGUCAAAUUAUUUUCUUUGAUCGACGAUCUUCUUGUUUUUUUUUUUGUUAAUGCAUAUUAACCUUAAUUUUGAGAAUUUUACUUCCACUAAUAAAAUCAUAUUUUUAAAUUAUCAAGAGUAAACUUAAAAAAAUAUAUAUAUAAUUUUAAUAAAUUAAACAAACUAUAAUAUAUUUUUACUAUAUUAGAAAACCAGGCAUUUUUAGUGUAAAGGCUUCACCAAACUUUUGAAAUUCUCAUGUUGCCCACGAAAAUCAUAAAGGGUGUUGUUAGAUGUAUCCAACAAACUUUUUAAUAGACCCAGCAAUUAAAAAUUAUCCUGUAUUUUCCAGUUUUGCCCUUGUUAUAAUAAACCCAGCAAACAUCAUCUCUAACACCACGUUGAGACCAGAAAGAGAACUAAUAUGGGGGAGGAAAUCAGGAGGAGCUUUCCCAUGAUCUAAGUAUAGAAUCUUGAGAAGAUUUGAUGUACGGGAUAUCGGAACCGAUUGCCUUCAA